RNAcentral lists this ribosomal RNA (253 nucleotides) under uncultured bacterium. RNAcentral describes it as "partial 16S ribosomal RNA". It matches the Rfam family "Bacterial small subunit ribosomal RNA", at positions 524 to 776 of the family's 1533-position model. The record is from RNAcentral.
GACGGAGGGUGCAAGCGUUGUUCGGAAUUACUGGGCGUAAAGGGCUCGUAGGUGGCCAACUAAGUCAGACGUGAAAUCCCUCGGCUUAACCGGGGAACUGCGUCUGAUACUGGAUGGCUUGAGAUUGGGAGAGGGAUGCGGAAUUCCAGGUGUAGCGGUGAAAUGCGUAGAUAUCUGGAGGAACACCGGUGGCGAAGGCGGCAUCCUGGACCAACACUGACACUGAGGAGCGAAAGCCAGGGGAGCAAACGGG